UGGGCUUGUGAUACCCUGGGGGAAAUAAAUCUCCACCAGCAGUUGCAUCGACCCAGUGGUUGUAAAUAAACUUAUCAUAGAUACCAGGACUUAAUUUAGUAUAUACGCCAGACGCGCGUUUCGUCUACAAAAGACUCAUCAGUGACGCUGGAAUCCAAAAAAGUUAAAAAGGCCAAAUAAAGUACGAAGUUGAAGAGCAUUGAGGACCAAAAUUCCUAAAAGUUUUGCCAAAUACAGC
RNAcentral lists this long non-coding RNA (238 nucleotides) under Mytilus galloprovincialis (Mediterranean mussel). The record is from RNAcentral. Lineage: Eukaryota; Metazoa; Mollusca; Bivalvia; Mytilida; Mytilidae.